RNAcentral lists this small nuclear RNA (137 nucleotides) under Xenopus tropicalis (tropical clawed frog). RNAcentral describes it as "U4 spliceosomal RNA (ENSXETG00000049347.1)". It matches the Rfam family "U4 spliceosomal RNA". From Rfam's summary of the family: U4 small nuclear RNA (U4 snRNA) is a component of the major U2-dependent spliceosome. The structure of U4 snRNA from yeast and human has been reported. The record is from Rfam by way of RNAcentral. Lineage: Eukaryota; Metazoa; Chordata; Amphibia; Anura; Pipidae.
AGCUUUGCGCAGUGGCAGUAUCAUAGCCAAUGAGGUCAAACGAGGCGUGAUUAUUGCUAAUUGAAAAUUUUCCCAAUACCCGCCCGUGAUGACUUGAAAUAUAGUCAGCACUGGCAAUUUUUGAGUCUCUCAGGAGA